RNAcentral lists this ribosomal RNA (29 nucleotides) under Boeremia lilacis. RNAcentral describes it as "partial 18S ribosomal RNA". Lineage: Eukaryota; Fungi; Ascomycota; Dothideomycetes; Pleosporales; Didymellaceae. The record is from RNAcentral.
UGCGGAAGGACAUGCGCGAGAGUCAUAUA